This 689-nucleotide unclassified non-coding RNA is filed under the name Hevea brasiliensis (rubber tree). The record is from RNAcentral. Lineage: Eukaryota; Viridiplantae; Streptophyta; Magnoliopsida; Malpighiales; Euphorbiaceae.
AAGCACUUAAGACUUCAUAACAUUAAACCCAGACAUAACAAUAGCAAAAGGAGGUUCAAGUCACUUAGUUAGGACAAAGCCAACAGUGAAAAGCAGAAAUAGCAUACUAAAUAUUUACUCACACAAGAUUGUUCAGACGAUCUUAUAGAAAAUAUAAUCCAAAUUUAUCCUCCAAUGCAGAUUCACUCAAAUGCCCAAGCAUUCUCCCUCCUAACCUCCUCUUCUUCCUCAGGAGUGAAGUCAUUCUUGAUGUUAAAGGUCUUCCGGAUCUCCUCUGGUGUUUUCCCUUUAAUCAUGUCUGCCACGGUCUGGCAAGUGAGAUCAAGCAAGCUCUUGAUGUUCAAGUAGUUGGCAGCCAGGAUCAGAUCGAAGAGGGUGCCCUGAUCAACUUUGACAAAAUCAGCAUCAAAGGUUUUGAGCUCAUCUUCAGAUGCCUUAUCCUCAGUUUUAGAAGCAUCAACAUGGCGUUUGCAGUACUCAAUAACCUUAGCCAAGAUCUUGCUGGUAACAUUAGGCAGAGGGAUGCUGGUGUCGGCGCAAUCAUCUUCAAUCAUAUGCUUGAUCGUCUGAGAUUCCAAAGCAACCGCUUCGUCCACCUCGAAAGUCUCGCCGUCGGAGCUCUUCAACACGAUCAUCUUUGAGGAAGCCAUGGUAGAUCACUCAAUCGAUUCACGAAACCCUAAACCUAU